RNAcentral lists this ribosomal RNA (253 nucleotides) under uncultured bacterium. Its description in RNAcentral is "partial 16S ribosomal RNA". It matches the Rfam family "Bacterial small subunit ribosomal RNA", at positions 524 to 776 of the family's 1533-position model. The record is from RNAcentral.
UACGUAGGGGGCAAGCGUUGUCCGGAAUCAUUGGGCGUAAAGCGCACGUAGGCGGCUUCGCAAGUCGGAUGUGAAAUCCCUCGGCUCAACCGAGGACGUGCAUCCGAAACUGCGGAGCUUGAGUACUGAAGAGGAUCGCGGAAUUCCCGGUGUAGAGGUGAAAUUCGUAGAUAUCGGGAGGAACACCAGUGGCGAAGGCGGCGAUCUGGGCAGAUACUGACGCUGAGGUGCGAAAGCGUGGGGAGCAAACAGG